This is a non-coding RNA of Schizosaccharomyces pombe (fission yeast), 1261 nucleotides long. The record is from the annotation of a GenBank genome assembly. NCBI's taxonomy places the organism in Eukaryota, Fungi, Ascomycota, Schizosaccharomycetes, Schizosaccharomycetales, Schizosaccharomycetaceae.
UCUGGAUUCCCCCACAAAACAACAUCAUCACCCCUUUUAACAUCCGGGACGUCUGUAACGUCAAUAGCCAGCAUAUCCAUACAAACUUUUCCUACUGUUGGUACUCUCUUUCCAUUUAUUAUUACGGGACAUCCAUUUCUAACUUGAGGAAAUCCAUCACCAUAGCCUAUAGCAACAACGCCUAUAAGCGAAUCACGAGUUGUCACAUAUGCACCACCAUAACCAAUAGGUUGAUCUUUUUCAACGUGCUUUACACAAACAAUAGUAGACAUUAACUUCAUAGCCGGAAUCAACGGUUUAGGUAAUUCAGGAGCCUUAGCGUCGAGAUCAUAUGGAUCAAGUCCGUAUAGCAUAGAGCCAGUGCGUAACCAAUCCAUAUGAAUUGUAUUUAACCAACCCACUACAAUUACUCCACCUCCAGCACUAAGUGGAUCAGGUAAGCAGCCGGCAGCUUUUUCAAAAAUUCUCCAUUGUUUUAAUGUGUAUUCGGACUUUUCAGGGAUAUCCGCGAAUGCAAAGUGAGUGGCUUUGACAAUACCACUAACAUUUUUGUGAUUUUUUAGUAACCGAUAUUUAUCAGCAUAUUCUGCAGGAGUAAAUCCAAGUCGAUUCAUUCCAGAAUCAAGUUUUAAGUGAACUUCAACCGGUUUUUUAAAUGGAUAAUUCAUAAAACUUUUUAACUGUUCUUCACAGUGAAUAGUUAUAGAAAAAUUAUAUUUAUCAAUCAGGCUUAGUUCGUCUUCAUCUGUAAAAAAGCCUUCCAACAAAAGAAUUCUAUUUUGUAUUCCGCUAAGCCGUAACUCCAGAGCUUCUUCAAUGGAUGCGACGCCAAAACCCUCAGCUGAACAAUAUUUAGCAAGGAAUUGAGCAACUUCAACGGCUCCAUGUCCAUAAGCAUUUGCCUUUAAAAUGCAUAAGAUGUGAGCGUCUGGAUUUUUUUCGUCUAGUAAUUCUCUAAUGAGAUUGUAAUUGUAACCAAUAGCGCGCAAAUCGAUAACAGCUCUAGCCCCCCUCAUCGUUAAAAUAGAAAUUGUUUUGUGAUUAGAAUGCAAGCUAGCUGAUCUGUUUGUUUCUCAAAUUCGUUGGUGGAAAAAGCGAUGCUAUAAGUAAUUCAAAUCCUUACUGUUUAUUUAAACAAUUUAUCUAAAUUUUCACAUAUUUCACGCUAAUUUAUAUGCAACCGGAAAUUACAUCUUUAUAGUCCGUGGUGCCUCCGUGGUGUCCGGUGAUCAUAAAUUCGCAUUAGCGUUGCUGAAAUCAG